UAUGUGAUUUAUUUCUGGGUUUUAUUUUUCUUCCGAUUAUUAGAUCUAAACAACACUUGUGCAUGGUUGUUGUUAGAAUCUUGUUGUUCCCUUGUUCCCUAAGGGCACUUGAGAUAGACAGACAGCAUCGAUGAUGGAGAAAAACCUUGUAAUCAUCCUUGCACUUUGAAUUUUCAUAGUGAUGAAAACUAAUGGGGAAAUAUGAGUCUGAGAUGCUUCUUUGCUUUCAUUUUGGGCUUGUGAUUUUUAUAUGAAAAGGAAAAAAUUUCAAUCUGUAAUUUUUUUUUAUUAUUACCUGGAUCAGUGAUGUUUAAAUACUGCGUUAUCUUCCUGAAAAAAAUUCCUCCAAUGAGGAUUUUCAUUCGAUGACAAAAUGCCUACUGAGAUCCCUUCUUCCUAAAACUGAUUAUUAUUUUUUGCUUUUGGUUUGACUUCAUGAUUUUGAAUGUGUUCUAUUUGAUGUUUCACCUAAUUAUAAGUUGCCAAACAACUUUGUAUGGAUUUCAGUUUGAUGAUAGGUGUUGUCGCCCCAGUCUUACAUGCAUCAAUGGUGCAAGAUGGUGACUGACUUCAAUUUCUGAUUCAAAUAAUUACAUAAGAUACUAUCUAAAAGUCUUUAACUUGUCUAGGUAUUAUCUACUAGCCCACACGUUUUAGAAAGAAGUUUGGAAAACCAUAUCAUUAUCAUUCGUUUUUCCAAUUUCAUCAAGAACAUUGUUGGCACUGACCCAAUACACAUAUUUUGUUUUCCGAACCCUUAGGGUUUAAUCCCGUGGAUUUGAAUGGAAGAUUGAUAUUCAAUAGGUGUUGUGAAACUAAGGUGUCCCUCAAUCAAGUAUUGUCAGGUUCUUAGUUAACCAACCAUGGCCACGUUCGAUUAGCAGUGGUAAAAUUUGGAGAGAUCGCAGAAGAUAUUAAGGAUGAAUCAGAAGUCUUUUUUGGAGAAGUUUGUGAUCAAGUAUGAGCAAGCUCCUGAGCUGUUGAAGAUUUAUAAUCAGGCAUCCAUUCGGCGUGUCUCGGAAGACUCCCAAAGUGAUGAGUUAAUCUUUGCUGCCAAGCAAGUCGAAACCUAGCUACUGGCUCGCUGAAAUUUGUGUGGGUGCAGCUCGAGAUAAGUACAUUGUCUUGGUGUGUUUUUACUUAAACCUUGCUGUCUAUGAGUUCUAUCGUAGCAUAUCCAAAGACACGUAUUAGGCAGAUAAGUGCAAACGAAUUGGACGCCGCAAUAAGUAUUUGAAUUCCUUUAUUCAGUUAGUGGCAUGAAAUGUGCAGUAGAUGUCUUAUUGUAAAACAUUUAUUACAUAGCCUUUACUUGGUCCUUUUGUCAAUUCCUGCUUCUCCUUGGCAUGUUAGGUGUCUGUAUGCUUGUUCCAUUCUCUCCAAAAAAUAAAAUAUGUGUGUACCUAUCACGUGCCUCAUACAUGUUGACAUGAAAAGAAUACAUUGUGUAGGUAGUAAUUUUCUAGUGUUUAACAACUCUACUUAUCUAGAACAUGUGUACUGGAUGACAAAAUUUUGGCUGUAAAAGUAAAGGAAUUUAAGGAAGUACAAUUCAGGAAAGAUACUUGUGGUUUGUUGUUCGGUUUUAAGAAAUUUAGUACAAUGUGUUUGCAAUGGCAAGAAUCAAAAUGUGACAUAGUAAUUAAGAUGGGUGCUUGUUUGAGUACUUACCUUUUGUGUUCCUGGGAAGCUCAUAUGCUUGUUUCAUCUAGGUGAAUCGCGGAGGAGAUUUGCAGCUGAACUUAGAACCACAUUGGAUCAUUCUCUGUGGUACAUGUUUGAUCCAUGAAUUUGUAGUUGCUGGAUGCGUAGCUACUUUUGUUGUAUCCAUGAAUUACUUUAAAUAGAUAAUCUGCUACUUGUGUUGUAUCCAUGUACGCGCAUAUGCCUCUCUUCUUUGAGGGUUUAAAGCAAAUUGGUAACCUAUUUUGUUAUUGUUUCUGGACUUCGAUGCCAUUGAAGUUAUUUAUUUGUUUUUGCUUUCAAUUUUCUGGUGUUUCUUUUUUUUUCCAAUGUUUUAUUUUUCUUUCCGAUUAUUAUAUCUACGGAACACUUGUACAUUGUUGUUGUUAGAAUCUUGUUAUUCCUCAAGGAAAGAGAGUUAGACAGACAGCAUCAAUGAUGGACAAAACCUUGUAAUCAUCCUUGCACUUUGAAUUUUCAUAGUGAAGAAAACUAAUGGGGAAAUAUGAGUUUGAGAUGCUUCUUUUUUGGCCUUGUGAUUUUUGUAUGAUAAGGAUUUUUUUUUUCAAUUUGUAAACUUUUUAGUGUUAUCAGGAUCAAUGAUGUUUAAAUACUGCGUUAUCUUCCUGAAAAAGUUUCUCCAAUGAGGAAUUUUGUAAGAUGACAAAAUGCCUACCGAGGUCCUUCUUCCAAAAACAGUUUUUUGCUUUUGGUUUGAUUUAAUGAUUUUAUUUAGAGUUUCCUUAAUUUUUGAGUUCUCUGUUUGGUGUUUGGCUGAUUUUGAAUUUGUCUAUUUUGUUGUUUCACUUGAUUCUAAGUUCCCAAACAACUUUGUAUGGAUUUGAAUUUGAUAGUAGGUACUUACAUGCAUCUGCAAGAUGGCGAUUUCUAUUCAAAUAAUUACAUAAGGAUAUUAUAUAGACUUGAUUAUUUCUUUUUAUAUUCUAGACUUCAACUUGUCAAGAUAUUAUCUACUAGCCCUCACGUUCUAGAAAGAAGUUUAGAAAACCGCAUCAUUUGUGUUUUCAAUUUCAUCUAGAACAUUGUUGCUACUGACGCAAUAUACAUUUUUUGUUUUCCGACGCACUUAGGGGUUUAAUCCUGUAGAUUUGAAUGAAAGAUUGAUGUAAUGAAGGUGUCCCUCAUGUGCUUGUUUCGACUAGGUGAAUCACGGUUGAACUAGGCAGCUUAACUUAGAACCACACUGGAUUAUUCUCGCGGAUCAUCCUCCACUUUUUUGCUAGACUUCUUCACAACCUUCUUCAAUGCCUAACACUUUGGCUUUCUUCAAUGCCUAACAAGGAUGGAGAAUUGAAGAAGUCAAGCAAAAAAGUGGAGGAAGUGUGCAAAGUAGCGUGGCGACCAAGUAUGAUUUAGAAGCUCCUGAGCCGUUGCAGGUAUAUCAUAGUUCACUAUUUUGAUAUUCCUUCAUUCAGUUAGUGACAUGAAAUGUGUUUUAGGAUUAUGUGAAUUUAUGAUUUAGGUUACAUAGUCUUUACUUGGCCCUUUUGUUUUUUCCUGUAGUGUUUUUCCUUGCAAUGUUAGAUGUUAGUUGUAUGCACGCUUGUUUAUGUUAGUUGUAUGUACGCCUGUUUUAUUCUCUCCCAAAAGAAAAUUAUGUGUCCACCAGUCACUCGCCUCAUACAUGUUGACAAGAAGAAGAAUACCAUGUAGUUAGUAGUUUUCUGGUGUUUAGCAACUAUGAUUUUUAGUACCAUGUGUACAGAGGCAUUCGUAAUAUCACAUUCACCCAGAAUGGUAAAAUUCACCAUGUAAAGUUCCAAGUACCGACCGAUAAAGACACAAAUUUACGCUCCUCUAGUCAGUACUUUGCCGAAUCCCGAGCAUUGGCAUUUCCCCCCAAACCUGUAAGGUGAGACGUUAAAACCUUAAUGUUGGGUUGUUCACUAAACCUGACAUUUCUGGUGUUUUUCUUGUUUUCUCAAUUUCCCCCCUUCCGAUUAUUAGAUCUAAACAACACUUGUGUAUUGUGGUUGUUAGAAUUUUUUAUUCCUCACGGAAAGGGAGUUACACAGACAGCAUCAAUGAUGGACAAAAUCCUUGUAAUCAUCCUUGCACUUUGAAUUCUGAUAGUGAAGAAAACUAACGGGGAAAUAUGAGUCUGAGAUGCUUGCUUUCUUUUUGGCCUUGUGAUUUUUGUAUGAAAUUGAAUUUUUUUCAGUCUGUAAAAUUUUUGUUUGUGUUAUCAGGAUCAGUGAUGUUUAAAUACUGCGUAGUAUCUUUUUGAAUAAAUCUCUCCAACGAGGAAUUUUUUUUAGAUGUCGAUUGCCUUCUGAGGUUCUACUUCGUAAAGUAGUUUUCGCUUUUGGUUUGAUUAUCAUGAUUUAUUUAGAGUUUACUUAAUUUGUGAGUACUCUGUUUGGAGUUCGGCUGAUUUUGGAUCUGUCUAUUGUGUUGUUUCACUUAAUUUGAAUAUGAUGAUAGGUAUUGUCGCCUCAUUGGUGCAACAUGGUGAUUGACUUCCAUUUCUGAUUUAAAUAAUUACAUAUGUUCAUUGUCUAGACUUGAUUAAUUCAAUUUCAUGUUAGACUUGUCAAUUUAUUAUCUACUUGCCCACAUUCUAGAAAGAAACUUAGAAAACCAUGUCGUUCGUUUUUUCGAUUUUAUCAAGAAAAAUUUUAGUACUGACCCAAUACAUUUUUUUUGUUUUCCGACGCCUUAGGGGUUUAAACCUGUAGAUUUGAAUGAAAGAUUGAUACUCAAUAUACAGGUUUUGAGAAAUGAAGGUGCCCCUCAACCAAGUAUUGUCAUAUUCUUAGUUAGCCAACCAUGGUCGCUUUCUAUUAGCACUGGUAAAUUCAGGGAGAGAUAGUAGAAGAUAUUAAGGGUAUGGGUUUCGGUCCUUAGAAAUUUAAGUUCUUAGUGGUCUUCAUGCAUUGACAGCGAUGAAUAAAUCGACUUGUUGAAACUAAGGUUAGAAGAUUUAAUUCAAAAUUUGUUUAAUACAUGUCCUAUCUAUAUGAAGCUAUCCGAGAAGAAAAUCAUAUAGUCCCUGGCUUGUUGCUAAGUGUCCAUGAAUUGAGGUUUCCCGUUUAUCAAAUAUUAGUCUCCAAGGGUCUGAUUGAGGGACGAAUUUUCUUAGAAACACUGCAUAUGAGUCUUUAUUGGAGAAGCUGUGAUCAAGUAUGAGCAAGAAGCUCCUGGGCAAUUUAAGGUAUAUCAUAGUUCACUAUUUGGUAUUCCUUUGUACAGUUAAUGACAUGAAAUGUGCUGUAGAUUAUCUGAAUUUUUGCAACUUAAGUUUACGGUUUUUACUUGGCCCUUUUGUUUAUUCCUGCUUCUCUAUAGCAUGUUAGCUGUAUGUAUGCUUAUUUUAUCUUCUCCAAUAUGAAAAAUACGGCUUUACCAGUCACUUGACUUUUUUAUACUGAAAAUCAAGAGAGGUGCUUGUCUUAAAGCUAACUUAUCUUUUCUUUGCCGGAAAAUUUUAUGCUUCCACUUGGUAAAUGGCUGAGGAACUUAUCAGACUAACUUAGAGCUGAGCAUUCUCUACGGUAUAGAUUUCUUCUAUGGAUUGGUAGUUCCUUAAUGCUUAGCCACUAUGUUUGUGUCCAAGGUGAACUUUAAUAGAUAAGCAAACAUAUAUUUAUCUUAACUACUUGUGCAGGAUUAUCCGAUUACUUAUAUAAAUGAGGGAUCUGGACCACUCGGCUGAAGUGGACUCCUCAUUUUUUUUAGAUACCUCUAACCUUGCCAUCCAUCUUAUGACUGCGGGCUGCAGUGGACUCAUUUUUUUAGAUACAUUUAACCUUGCCAUCCAUCUUAUGAGUGCUUUAGAGUUUAACUAGUCACAUUUUCUAAGAGAUUGAAUUUUCUGCACUUGAUUAUUCAGUUUUAUUAUGCAGUAAACUAGCAAAGCCUUGGGCAUAAUUUUAGUAGAUUAACUACUUAUUCAUUCUAAUUCUUCUAUUACUUAGAUAAAUAAUCAAUUGCAUCUGUAUGCAUGUACUUAGAUACUGAUCAUGAAAAAGAGGUUGCAGGAACAGGUGGGAUUAGAAGAGAAAAACUGGAAGUUCCCGAGGAAAUCAUGAAAUAUUGUGAAGGAAUAUUUUAAAUGGGACACAACAGAAGAUUUGGAUACCACUGAGACAAAGUAUCUUCAUUACAAUGUUAGUACAGUGGUGACAACUAAAGCUGAAUAUGAGGAUCUCAAACAACAACUGGAAAAUUCACGGGCGCUAUAUUCUCGUCUGGAGGACUAUAACCUUGAUCAUGUCAAAGUCUCUGACCCUUCUGUAUCUUCUUUACGUUGUUUUCUGAGGGACUCGGGCACGGGUGCGAAGACACUGGUGAUGAACCCCGAGGAUCAUGUCAUUGAGGGCCUUCGGAUGAGGUCUGAUGCGAACAAGAAUGACUUCCACGUGCGUAAAGCGGCUCUCGUGUUGUUUCACUCUGCUAGUUUGCAUCACAACUUGUUGAAGAUGACAGAGGAGCGUUGCCUGAACAUGUUUAUGACGGAACAGGAAGAUUGCUUGAAAGAAGUGGACAAGAUGCAGGAGCAGUGGUUUCUGGUAGAUGCAUCAUCUUUAAAUUGUAACCUUUAAUUUAAUCGUCCUAUGCGUCAUCUUUAGCAGUCCUUUGAGAGGUCUUUUCCCUGACCAAGAAUCGUACCUGAAUUGAUGCACCUGAAUUAAUGCUGUAAUGAGAAUGAGCAUCAAUGACGGCAGCUGGAUUGGCAAUGGCUUCCU
Long non-coding RNA from Papaver somniferum (opium poppy), 6392 nucleotides. RefSeq lists it as uncharacterized. The transcript has 3 exons. NCBI's taxonomy places the organism in Eukaryota, Viridiplantae, Streptophyta, Magnoliopsida, Ranunculales, Papaveraceae. The record is from RefSeq and is a predicted model, not a curated record.